RNAcentral lists this unclassified non-coding RNA (378 nucleotides) under plant metagenome. RNAcentral's name for it is "partial contains 5.8S ribosomal RNA, internal transcribed spacer 2, and large subunit ribosomal RNA". The stretch from base 1 to 105 matches the Rfam family "5.8S ribosomal RNA", at positions 50 to 154 of the family's 154-position model. The record is from RNAcentral.
GAAAUGCGAUAAGUAAUGUGAAUUGCAGAAUUCAGUGAAUCAUCUAAUCUUUGAACGCACCUUGCGCUCCUUGGUAUUCCUUGGAGCAUGCCUGUUUGAUUAUCAUGAAAUCUUCAAAGUAAAUCUUUUGUUAACUCAAUUGGUUUCUACUUUGGUAUUGGAGGUCUUUGCAGCUUCACACCUGCUCCUCUUUGUUCAUUAGCUGGAUCUCAGUGUUAUGCUUGGUUCCACUCGGCGUGAUAAGUUAUCUAUCGCUGAGGACACUGUAAAAGGUGGCCAAGGUAAAUGCAGAUGAACCGCUUCUAAUAGUCCAUUGACUUGGACAAUACUUUUAUGAUCUGAUCUCAAAUCAGGUAGGACUACCCGCUGAACUUAAGC